This 604-nucleotide ribosomal RNA is filed under the name uncultured bacterium. RNAcentral describes it as "bacterial SSU rRNA". It matches the Rfam family "Bacterial small subunit ribosomal RNA", at positions 56 to 657 of the family's 1533-position model. The record is from RNAcentral.
UGCAGUCGAGGGGCAGCACGAGUACUUGUACUUGGUGGCGACCGGCGCACGGGUGCGUAACGCGUAUGCAACCUACCUUAUACAGAGGGAUAGCCCAGAGAAAUUUGGAUUAAUACCUCAUAGUAUCAUUUGAAGGCAUCUGAGAAUGAUUAAAGAUUUAUCGGUAUAAGAUGGGCAUGCGUAAGAUUAGUUAGUUGGUGAGGUAACGGCUCACCAAGACUUCGAUCUUUAGGGGUUCUGAGAGGAUGAUCCCCCACACUGGUACUGAGAUACGGACCAGACUUCUACGGGAGGCAGCAGUAGGGAAUAUUGGUCAAUGGGCGAGAGCCUGAACCAGCCAUGCCGCGUGCAGGAAGACGGCCUUCUGGGUUGUAAACUGCUUUUAUAUGGGAAGAAAACGGCCUUGCGAGGCAGAUUGACGGUACCAUAUGAAUAAGCACCGGCUAACUCCGUGCCAGCAGCCGCGGUAAUACGGAGGGUGCAAGCGUUGUCCGGAUUUAUUGGGUUUAAAGGGUACGUAGGCGGCCAAUUAAGUCAGUGGUGAAAGCCAGCAGCUCAACUGUUGAACUGCCAUUGAUACUGAUUGGCUCGAGUUCUGUUAAGG